GACGAACGCUGGCGGCGUGCUUAACACAUGCAAGUCGAACGGAAAGGCCCUGCUUUUGUGGGGUGCUCGAGUGGCGAACGGGUGAGUAACACGUGAGUAACCUGCCCUUGACUUUGGGAUAACUUCAGGAAACUGGGGCUCAUACCGGAUAUGAGCUCCUGCUGCAUGGUGGGGGUUGGAAAGUUUCGGCGGUUGGGGAUGGACUCGCGGCUUAUCAGCUUGUUGGUGGGGUAGUGGCUUACCAAGGCUUUGACGGGUAGCCGGCCUGAGAGGGUGACCGGCCACAUUGGGACUGAGAUACGGCCCAGACUCCUACGGGAGGCAGCAGUGGGGAAUAUUGCACAAUGGGCGGAAGCCUGAUGCAGCAACGCCGCGUGCGGGAUGACGGCCUUCGGGUGGUAAACCGCUUUCGACUGUGACGAAGCGUGAGUGACGGUAAUGGGUAAAGAAGCACCGGCUAACUACGUG
Molecule: ribosomal RNA, 468 nt
Filed under: uncultured bacterium
Lineage: Bacteria
Description: partial 16S ribosomal RNA
Rfam family: Bacterial small subunit ribosomal RNA
Source: RNAcentral